This 403-nucleotide ribosomal RNA is filed under the name bacterium. Its description in RNAcentral is "partial 16S ribosomal RNA". It matches the Rfam family "Bacterial small subunit ribosomal RNA", at positions 355 to 776 of the family's 1533-position model. The record is from RNAcentral.
UGGGGAAUAUUGCACAAUGGAGGGAACUCUGAUGCAGCGACGCCGCGUGAACGAAGAAUGCUUUCGAGUCGUAAAGUUCUUUUAUAUGGGAAGAUAAUGACGGUACCAUAAGAAAAAGCCCCGGCUAACUACGUGCCAGCAGCCGCGGUAAUACGUAGGGGGCUAGCGUUGUCCGGAAUCACUGGGCGUAAAGGGUUCGCAGGCGGAAAUGCAAGUCAGGUGUAAAAGGCAGUAGCUUAACUACUGUAAGCAUUUGAAACUGCAUAUCUUGAGAAGAGUAGAGGUAAGUGGAAUUUUUAGUGUAGCGGUGAAAUGCGUAGAUAUUAAAAAGAAUACCGGUGGCGAAGACGGCUUACUGGGCUCAUUCUGACGCUGAGGAACGAAAGCGUGGGUAGCAAACAGG